Molecule: ribosomal RNA, 500 nt
Filed under: uncultured bacterium
Lineage: Bacteria
Description: bacterial SSU rRNA
Rfam family: Bacterial small subunit ribosomal RNA
Source: RNAcentral
CAGGACGGGGACAACAGGUGGAAACGACUGCUAAUACCCGAUAUGCCGCAAGGUGAAACCUAAUUGGCCUGGAGAAGAGCUUGCGUCUGAUUAGCUAGUUGGUGGGGUAAGAGCCUACCAAGGCGACGAUCAGUAGCUGGUCUGAGAGGAUGAGCAGCCACACUGGGACUGAGACACGGCCCAGACUCCUACGGGAGGCAGCAGUGGGGAAUUUUCCGCAAUGGGCGAAAGCCUGACGGAGCAACGCCGCGUGAGGGAGGAAGGUCUUUGGAUUGUAAACCUCUUUUCUCAAGGAAGAAGUUCUGACGGUACUUGAGGAAUCAGCCUCGGCUAACUCCGUGCCAGCAGCCGCGGUAAUACGGGGGAGGCAAGCGUUAUCCGGAAUUAUUGGGCGUAAAGCGUCCGCAGGUGGUCAGCCAAGUCUGCCGUCAAAUCAGGUUGCUUAACGACCUAAAGGCGGUGGAAACUGGCAGACUAGAGAGCAGUAGGGGUAGCAGGAA